Molecule: long non-coding RNA, 15495 nt
Filed under: Homo sapiens (human)
Lineage: Eukaryota; Metazoa; Chordata; Mammalia; Primates; Hominidae
Description: HSALNT0315667
Source: RNAcentral
GUUUAGGGGUACAUAUGCGGAAUGUGCAGCUUCAUUACAUAGUUAAGUGUGUGCCAUGGUGAUUAGCUGCACAGAUCAUCUCAUCACUUAGGUAUUAGGCCCAGCAUCCAUUGGCUGUUCUUCCUGAUGCUGUUUCUCCUGCCACCUCCCAUCCUCUACCAGGCCCCAGUUUGUGUUGUUUCCCACCAUGUGUCCAUGUAUUCUCAUCAUUCAGCUCCCACUUAUAAGUGAGAACAUGCGAUAUUUGGUUUUUUGUUCCUGUGUUAGUUUGCUGAGGACAAUGACUUCCAGCUCCAUCCAUGUCCCUGCAAAGGACAUGAUCUUGUUCCUUUUUAUGGCUCUGUAGUAUUCCACGGUGUAUAUCAACCACAUUUUCUUUAUCCAAUCUAUCAUUGUUGGACAUUUAGUUGGAUUUCAUGUCUUUGCUAUUGUGAAUAAUGCUGUAAUGAACACACGUGUGCAUGUAUCUUUAUAAUAAUGAUUUAUAUUCCUUUGGGUAUAUACCUAGUAAUGUGAUUGCUGAGUCAAAUGUAUUUCUGGUUCUAGGUCUUUCAGGAGUUGCCACACUGUCUUCCACAAUGGUUAUACUAAUUUACACUCCCACCAACACUGUAAAAGUGUUCCUUUUUCUACACAACCUCGCCAGCUUCUGUUUUUGUUUUUUUUUCCCCCCUUUUAAUAAGCUAUUCUAACUGGUAUGAGAUGAUAUCUCAUUGUGGUUUUGGUUUGCAUUUCUCUAAUAAUCUGUGAUGUUGAGCUUUUUUUCAUGUUUGUUGGUCACAUAUAUAUCUUCUUUUGAGAAGUGUCUGUUCAUGUCCUUUGCCCACUUUUAAUGGAGUUGUUUGUUUUUGUGUUGUAAAUUUAAGUUCUUUGUAGAUGCCGGAUAUUAGACCCUUGUCAGAUGGGUAGAUUGCAAAAAUUUUCUCCCAUUCUGUAGGUUGUCUGUUUACUCUGAUGACAAUUUCUUUUGCGUGGAGAAGCUCUUUAGUUUUAUCAGAUUCCCUAUGUCAAUUUUUGCUUUUGUUGCAAUUGUUUUUGGUGUCUUUGUCAUGAAAUCUUUGCCCAUGCCUAUGUCCUGAAUGGUAUCACCUAGGUUUUCUUCUGAAGUUUUUAUAGUUUCGGGUUUUACAUUUAAGUCUUUAAUCUACCUUGGGAUGAUUUUUGUAUAUGGUGUAAAGAAGGGGUCCCAUUUCAGUUUUUUGCAUAUGGCUAGCCAGUUCUCCCAGCACCAUUUAUUAAAUAGGGAAUCCUUUCCCCAUUGCUUGUUUUUGUCAGGUUUGUCAGAGAUCAGAUGGUGGUAGGUGUGUGGUCUUUCUGGGUUUUCUCUUCUCUUCCAUUGGUCUGUGUGUCUGUUUUUGUAACAGUACCAUGCUAUUUUGGUUACUGUAGCCUUGUAGUAUAAUUUGAAGACAGGUAGCAUGAUGCCUCCAGCUUUGUUCUUUUUGCUUAGGAUUGCCUUGGCUAUUGCAGCUUUUUUUGCUUCCAUAUUAGUUUUAAAAUAGUUUUUUCUAAUUCUGUGAUGAAUGUCAGUGGUAGUUUGAUAGCAAUAGCACUGAAUCUAUAAAUUGCUUUGGGCAGUAUGGCCAUUUUAACAAUAUUGAUUCUAUCCAUGAGCAUGGAGUGUUUUUCCAUUUGUUUGUGUCAUGUCUGAUUUCUUUGAGCACUGGUUCUUAGUUCUCUUUCAAGAGGUACUUCACCUCCCUUGUUAGCUGUAUUCCUAGGUAUUUUAUUCCUUUUGUGACAAUUGUGAAUGGGAAUUCAUUCAUGAUUUGGCUCUUGGCUUGCCUGUUAUUGACGUAGAGGAAUGCUAGUGAUUUUUGCACAUUGAUUUUGUAUCCUGAGACUUUGCUGAAGUUUCUUAUCAGCUUAAGCUUUUGGGCUGAGACUAUGGUUUUUUUUUUUUUUUUUAAUAUACAGGAUUAUGUCAUCUGCAAGCAAAGAUAGUUUGAGUUCCUUUCUAGCUAUUUGAAGUGGGGUUUUUUUUUAUAUAUAGGAUUACACCAUCUGCAAGCAAAGAUAGCUUGAGUUCCUCUCUAUCUAUUUGAAUGUCCUGUAUUUCUUUCCCUUGUCGGAUAAUCCUGGCCAGAACUUCCAAUACUAUGUUGAAUAGGAGUGGUGAGAGAGGGCAUCGUCUUGUGCCAGUUUUCAAAGGAAAUGCUUCCAGCUUUUGCCCAUUCAGUUGAUAUUGGCAAUAGGUUUGUCACAUAUGGCUUUUAUUAUUUUGAAGUAUGUUUCUUCAAUACUUAAUUUACUGAGACUUUUCAACAUGAAGGGAUGUUGAAUUUUAUUAGAGGCCUUCUCUGCAUCUAUUGAGAUAAUCAUGUGGUUUUUGUCUUUAGUUCUGCAUAUGUGAUUAAUUUCAUUUACUGCUUUGCAUAUGUUGAACCAGCCUUGCAUGCCAGGGAUGAAGCCUGCUUGAUCGUGGUGGAUAAGCUUUUUGAUGUGCUGCUAGAUUCAGUUUUCCAGCAUGUUGUUGAGCAUUUUUGCAUCAAUGUUCAUCAAGGAUAUUGGCCUGAAGUUUUCUUUUUGUUUUGUUAUAUCUCUGCCAGGUUUCAGUAACAGGAUGAUGCUGGCCUCAUAGAAUGAGUUAACAGAGGAGUUCCUUCUUUUCUGUUUUUCAUAAUAGUUUAAGUAGGAAUGGUACCAGCUCUUCUUUCUACCUGUGGUAGAAUUCAGCUGUGAAUCCAUCUGAUCCUGGGCUUUUUUGGAGUGGUAGGCUUUUUAUUAGUGCUGCAGUUUCAGAACUCAUUAUUGGUCUGUUCAGAGAUUCAAACUCUUACUGGUUCCAUCUUUGGACGAUAUACGUGUUCAAGAAUGUAUCCAUUCUUCCAGAUUUUCUCAUUUGUAUGCAUAAAGGUCUUUAUAGUAUUCUCUGAUGGUUGGUUGUAUCUAUUUUAUUAAUUUUUUCAAAAAACCAGCUCCUGGAUUUGUAGAUUUUUCAAAGGUUUUUUUUUUUUUUUCUGUCUCUGUCUCCUUCAGUUCCAUUCUGAUCUUGGUUAUUUCUUGUGUUCUGCUAGCUUUGGGGUUUGUUUUCUCUUGGUCCUCUAGUUCUUUUAGUUAUUAAUUUGAGAUGUUUCUGGCUUUUUGAUGUGGGCAUUUAGUGCUAUAAAUUUCCCUCUUAACAUUGCUUUAGUUGUGACCCAGAGAUUCUGGUAUGUUGUAUCUUUGGUCUCAUUAGUUUCAAAGACAUUCUAGAUUUCUGCCUUAAUUUCGUUAUGUACUCAAGAGUCAUUUAGGAGCAGGUUGUCCAGCUUCCAUGUACUUGUAUGGCUUUUAGUGAAUUUCUUAAUCUUGAAUUCUAAUUUGAUUUUGCUGCGGUCUGAGAGACUGUUAUGAUUUCAGUUAUUUUGCGUUUGCUGAGAAGUGUUUUACUUCCGAAUAUGUGGUUAAUUUUAGAGUAAAUGCUGUGUGGUGAUGAGAAGAAUGUAUAUUCUGUUGUUUCAGGGUGAAGGAGUUCUAUGGAUACCUAUCAGGUCCACUUAUUCCAAAGCUAAGUUAAUGUCCUGAAUAUCUUAGUUAAUUUUCUGUCUCUGUGAUCUGUCUAAUAUUGUCAGUGGCUUGUUAAAGUCUCCCAUUAUUGUUGUGUGGGAGUCUAAAUCUCUUUGAAGAUCUCUGACCCCUUACUUUAUGAAUCUGGGUGCUCCUGCAUUGGGUGCAUAUGUAUGUAGGAUAGUUAGCUCUUUUUGUUAAUUGAACCCUUUACCAUUAUGUAAUCUAGAAGGUCUUUGAAAUGUAAGAGCAUUGUGUAAUGCUCUUCUUUGUCUUUUAUGAUCUUUGUUGGUUUAAAGUUUGUUUUGUCAGAAACUAGGAUUCCAACUCCUGCCUUUUGCUGUUUUCCAUUUGCUUGGUAAAUUUUCCUCCAUGCCUUUAUUUUGAGCCUGUAAUGAGUCUUUUAAAUACAGUGUACCAAUGGGUCUUGAUUCUGUAUCCAUCUUGCCAUUGUGUGUCUUUCAUUGGGGCAUUUAUACCAUUUACAUUUAAGGAUAGCAUUGUUCGCCCACUUGCCAUAAAAAAUGAUGAGUUCAUGUCCUUUGUAGGGACAUGGAUGAAGCUGGAAACCAUCAUUCUCAGCAAACUAUCGUUAAGAACAAAAAACCAAACACCGCAUGCUCUCACUCAUAGGUGGGAAUUGAACAAUGAGAACACAGGGACACAGGAAGGGGAACAUCACACACCAGGGCCUGUUGUGGGGUGCGGGGAGGGGGGAGGGAUGGCAUUAGGAGAUAUACCUAAUGUUAAAUGACGAGUUAAUGGGUGCAGCCCACCAACAUGGCACAUGUAUACAUAUGUAACAAACCUGCACGUUGUGCACAUGUACCUUAAAACUUAAAGUAUAAUAAAAAAAAAAAGGAUAGCAUUGUUAUGUGUAGAUUUAAUCCUGUCAUCAUGAUGCUAACUGGUUUUUUUGCAGACUUGUUUUUAUGGUUACUUAAGUGUGUUUUUGUUGUUGCUGGUAAUAGUUUGUCCUUUCCAUAUGUAGUGUGCUUCCUUCAAGAGCCCUUACAAGGCAGGUCUGGUGGUAAUGAAUUCUCUCAGCAUUUGCUUGUCUGAAGAGGAUUUUAUAUCUUCCUCAUUUAUGAAGUUUAGUUUGGUCGGAUAUGAAAUUCUGGGUUGGCAAUUCUUUUCUUUAAGAAUGUUGAAUGUUGCCCCCCUAUCUUUUCUGGCUUGUAGGGUUUCUGCUGAGAGGUCCACCGAUAGUCUCAUGGGCUUCCCUUUGUAGAUGAACUGGCCUUUCUCUCUGGCUGCCCUUAACAUUUUUUCUUCAUUUUGAACUUGGAUAAUCUGAUAAUUAUGUCUUGGGGAUGAUCUUCUCAUGGAGAAGUUCUGUGGGGUUCUCUGCAUUUUCUGAAUUUGAAUGUUGGCCUGUCUUGCUAGGUUGGGGAGUGUCUCCUGGAUGAUAUCCUGAAGUAUGUUUUCCAACUUGUUCCAUUCUCUCCCUCACUUUCAGGUACCCCAAUCAUUCAUAGAUUCAGUCUCUUUACAUAAUCUUGUAUUUCUCGGAGGAUUGUUCAUUCCUUUUCAUUCUUUUUUCUCUAUUCUUGUUUGCCUGUCCUUAUUCAGAAAGCCAGUCUUCUAGCUCUGAGAUUUCUUUCCUCCACUUGGUCCAUUCUGCCAUUAAUACUGUGAUUGAAUUGUGAGGUUAUACUGUGUUUUUCAAUUCUAACUGGUCAGUUAUGUUCCUCUUUAAACUGGCUGUCAGCUCCUGUAUUGUUUUAUUCUGAUUCUUAGCUUUUUUGCGUUCAUUACAACAUGCUCCUUUAGCUCAGCAAAGUUUGUUAUUAUCCAUCUUUUGAAUCCUACUUCUGUUAUUUCAGGCAUCUUAGCCUCAGCCCAGUUCUGAGCCCCUGCUGGAGAAAUGCUGUGGUCAUUUGGAGAAAACGGCAAUCUGGCUUUUUGAGUUUUCAGGGUUUUGCACUGAUUUCAGGGUUUUGCACUGAUUUGCAGGGUUUUGCUCUUCUUUGUGGGCUUAUCUACCUUCGAUUUUUGAGGUUGCUGACCUUUGGAUGGGGUUUUGUGGUUUUUCUUCAUUGUUGUUGUGUUUUCUGUUUGUUUAUUUUUCUUUUAACAGUCUAGCCUCUCUUCUGUAGGGCUGCUGUGGUCUGCAGGGGAUCUGUUUCAGAACCUAGUUGGCUUUGGUUCUUCCUGUACCUGGAGGUAUCACCAGUGAAGGCUGCAAAAAACAAAGAUGGCAGCCUGCCCCUUCCUCUAGACCCUCCAUCCUAGGGCGGCACUGACCUAUUGCCAUCCUGAAUGCACCACUUCCCUUGGCUGUGAGUAGAUGUUCCCUUAGCUCUAUGUCACUCUCAGGUUGGCCAUCGCCCCACCCUGCUUUUCUUCAGUUUUCAUGGGUUGUUUCCUAAUCAGUACUGUUACACAAACAGACACAUAGACCAAUGGAAGAGAAUAGAGAACCCAGAAAUAAGACCACACACCUACCACCCAAUGCGACUAUCUGGAUAUUUCAGUUGAAGGUGCUAUAUCCACUGGCCCCUUUCAUUCCUCUUCGAGAGUGCUUAGGAGCACAGUUGCUUCUAAUCAGCCAUCUUGGCACCCUCCUUCACAGGCAUUUUCUCUUGCUCCCUCUGUAGUCCAUCUUGCCCUAUACCCCAGCUUCAGGCAACCACUAAUGUGCCUGCCUAGCCUAGGUUAACUUUUUAAGAAACUGCAAAAUAGUUUUCUAAAGGCCUAGUACCACACUGUACAUUGACAGGUGUCAGGUUGCUCCAUAUACUUACCAAUAGUUGGUAUUGUUGUUCUUUCUGAUUUUAGUCGUUCUGAUGGAUUUGUAGAUGUAUUCUACUGUGAGUAUAAGUUCCAUUUUUCUGAUACCUAAUAAUAUUGAGUAUCAAUUAUUUGCUUUUUGGCCACGUGUGUAUCUUCUUUUGUGUAGUGUGUCUAGUCAAUAUUUCUCCUAUUUUAAAAAAUCAUUUUAUUGAGGUAUAAUUAACAUUCAGUAAGCUGCAUAUAUUUAAAAGCAUGCAAUUUUAUAUGUUUUGAUUUACCUGUGAAACCAUCACAAUUAAGAUAGUGAACUUAUCCUCCAUCACUCCUUUGUAAUCACCCCCUACCUCGCAUCCACUCUCCCUCCCUCAGGCACCCACUUAUUGUCACUGCAGACUAGUUUGCAUUCCUAGAGCUUUCUAUAAAUAAAAUCGCUUACAGGAUAUGUACUUUCUGUCUGGCUUCUUUCACUCUGCAUAAGUGUUCUGACACUCAUGUUGUUGCAAGUAUCACUUCUCUUUGUUGCUGAAUAGUAUUCUAUUAAAUAUUAUGGUUUCUAUGAAACAAUUUGACUUUUCAUUCACCUAGUGAGGGAUAUUUUGGUUGUUACCAAUUUUUGACUAUUACAAAACCAGCUGCUGUGAAAAUUCAUGUAUAAGUCUUUGUAUGGACGUAUUCUUUCAUUUCUUUUGACAGUAGAAUGUGUAGAUCUAUGGUACAUUUAUGCUUCACUUUUUUAAAUUAAAAAUUUAUUUUUAUUUUUUUGGGGCACGUAGUAGGUUUAUAUAUUAAUGGAGUACAUGAGAUAUUUUGAUAUAGUAUAUAAAGCGUAAUAAUCACAUCAGAAUAAAUGGGGUAUCCAUCACCUCAAGCAUUUACCCUUUUUGUUACAAACAAUUCAAUUAUACUUUUUGUUAUUUUUGAAUGUGUAAUAAAUUAUUAAUUACUGUAGCGAUCCUCUUGUGCUAUCAAAUACUCUUUUUCAUUCUAUCUAUAUUUCUGUACCCACUAACCAUCCUGACUUCCCCCACCACACCCCACUACCGUUCUCAGCCUCUAGUAAGCAUCAUUGUACUCUCUCCAUGAAUUCAAUUGUUUUAAUUUUUGUCUCCCACAAAUAAGUGAGAACAUGUGAAGUUUGUCUUUCUGUGCUUGGCUUAUUUCACUUAACAUAAUGACCGCCAGUUCCAGCUGUGUUAUUGUAAAUUACAGGAUCUCAUUCAUUUUUAUGAUUAUAUAGUACUCUAUUGUGUAUAUGUUAGCACGUUUUCUUUAUCCAUUUCUGUGUUGAUGGACACUUAGGUUGUUUCCUAAUCUUGGCUAUUGUGAAUAGUGCUGCAAUAAACGUGGGAGUGCAGAUGAUCUUGAUACAAAAAUUUCCUUUCUUUUGGUUAUAUACCUAGCAGUGGGAUUACUGGAUUAUAUGGUAGUUCUAUUUUUAGUUUUAUGAGGAACCUCCACACUGUUCUCCAUAGUGGUUGUACUAAUUUACACUUUCACCAACAGUGUACAAGGCUACCCUUUUCUUCACAUACUCACCAGCAUUUGUUAUUGUCUGUCUUUUGGAUAAAAGCCAUUUUAACUGGGGUGAGAUAAUGUUUUGUUGUAGUUUGGAUUUGCUUCUCUCUGAUGAUCAGUGAUGUUGAAUGGCUUUUCAAAUACCUGUUUGUCACUUGUAUGUCUUCCUUUGAGAAACAUCCAUUCAAGUCUUUUGCCCACUUUUUAAAUCAGAUCAUAAUAUUUUUUUCAUAUUGAGGUUAUUGAGUUCCUUAUAUAUUCUGGUUAUUAAUCCCUUGUCACAUGGAUAGUUUGCAGAUAUUUUCUUUGGGAUGCAGAUAUUUUCCCAAUCUUUGGGAUGUCUCUUUACUUUGUUGAUUGUUUCCUUUGCUGUGCAGAAGCUUUUUAACUUGAUGUAAUAACAUUUGUCCAUGUUUGCUUUGGUUGGCUGUGCUUGUGGGGUAUUAGUCAGGAAAUCUUUGCCCAGAACAAUGUCCUGGAGAGUUUCUCCAAUGUUUUCUUGUAGUACUUUCGUAGUUUGAGGUCUUAAAUUUAAGUCUUUCAUUGAUUUUGAUUUGGUUUUUGUAUAUGGUGAGAAAUAGGAGCCUAGUUUCAUUCUUCUGCAUAUGGAUAUCCAGUUUUCCCAGCACUGUCCUUUCUCCAGUCUAUGUUCAUGACACCUUUGUUGAAAAUGAGUUCGCUGUAGGUGUGUGGAUUUGUUUCUGGGCUCUCUAUUCUGUUCCAUUGGUCUGUGUCUGUUUGUCUGCAAGUACCAUGCUGUUUUGGUUACUAUAGCUCUGUAGUUUUAUUAAAGUAAGGUUAUAUGAUUCCUCCAGUUUUGUUCUUUUUAUUCAGGAUGGCUUUGGGUGUUCUGGAUCUUUUGUGGUUUUAUAUAAAUUUUAGGAUUUUUUUUCUAUUUCUUCAAAAAAUUUCAUUGGUAUUUUAAGAGAGAUUGCAUUAAAUCUGUAGAUUGCUUUGGGUAGUAUGGACAUUUUAACAAUAUUGAUUUUUCCAAUCCAUAAACAUGAAAUAUCUUUCCAUUUUGUUAUGUCCUCUUCAAUUUCUUUCACCAAUAUUUUAUAGUGUUCAUUAUAGAGAUCUUUGUUUUUUGGUUAAAUUAAUUCUUAAGAAUUUAAUUUUAUUUGUGGCUAUUGUAAAUUGGAUUACUUUCUUGAUUUCUUUUUCAGAAUGUUCACUUUUGGCAUGUAGAAAUGCUACUGGUUUUUGUAUGUUGGUUUUGUAUCUUGCAGCUUUACUGAAUUUGUUCAUCAGUUAUUAUAGUUUUUUGGUGGAGUCUUUAGGUUAUUCCAAAUACAAGAUCAUAUCAUCUGCAAACAAGGAUAAUUUGACUUUUCUCAUUCCAGUUUAGAUGCCCUUCAUUUUCUUUUCUUGUUUGAUUGCUCUAGCUAAGACUUCUAUAAUUCUGUUGAGUAACAGUGGUGAAUGUGUGCAUCCUUGUCUUCUUCCAGAUGUUAGAGGAAAGGCUUUCAGUUUGUCCCCAUUCAGUAUGAUGCUAGCUGUGGGUCUGUCAUAUAUGGCUUUUAUUACAUUGAGAUAUUUUCCUUCUGUACCCAGCUUUUUGAGGGUUUUUGUUAUGAAGGGAUGUUAAAUUUUAUCAAAUGUUUUUUCAGCAUUAAUUGAUUCUGUUGGUAUGAUGUAUCCUAUUGAUUGAUUUGCAUAUGUUGAACCAUUCUUGCCUCUCUGGGAUAAAUCUCACUUGGUCAUGAUGAAUGAUUUUUUUUUUUUUUUCUUAGAGAAGGAGUCUCGCUCUGUUGCCUAGACUGGAGUGCAGUGGCAUGAUCUCGGCUCACCGCAAGCUCCACCUCCCGGGUUCACGCCAUUCUCCUGCCUCAGCCUCCCAAGUAGCUGGGACUACAGGCACCCGCCACCACGCCCGGCUAAUUUUUUGUAUUUUUUUUAAGUAGAGAUGGGGUUUCACUGUGUUAGCCAGGAUGGUCUCGAUCUCCUGACCUUGUGAUCUGCCCACCUCAGCCUCCCAAAGUGCUGGGAUUACAGGCGUAAGCCACCACGCCCGGCCGAUGAAUGUGUUCUUGAAUUCAGUUUGCUAGUAUUUUGUUGAGGAUUUUUGCAUCAAUGUUCAUCAGGGAUAUUGGUCUGUAGUCUUCUUUUGAUGUGUCUUUGUCUGGUUUUGGUAUCAGGGUAAUACUGGCCUCAUAAAAUGGGUUUGGAAGUAUUCCUUCUUUCUCUAGUUUUUGGAAAAAUUUGAGUAGGAUUGGAAUAAGUUCUUUACAUGUUUGGUAAAUUCAGCAUUGAAGCCAUUGAGUCAUGGGCUUUUCUUUACCGGGAGACUUUUUAUUAUGAUUUUGAUCUCGUUACUUGAUACUGGUCUAUUCACGUUUUGUAUUUUUUCAUGGUUCAAUCUUAGUAGACUGUAUGUGUCUAGGAAUAUUUCUGUUUCUUCUAGGUUUUCCAAUUUCUUGGCAUAUAGUUUCUCAUAGUAGCCUUUAUUGAUCCUUUAAAUGUCUGUGGUAUCAGUUGUAGUGUCUCCUUUUUCAUCUCUGAUUUUAUUGAUUUGGUUCUUCUCUCUUUUUCUCUUAGACUGACUAAAGGUUUUCUUAAUUUUCUUUCUUUUCAGAAAAUGAACUUUUUCUUUCAUUGAUUUUUUUUGGCACUUAUUGGCUUCAAAUUCAUUUAUUUCUUCUCUAAUCUUAUUUCUUCUACUAAUUUGGGGUUUGGUUUGGUCUUCUAUUUUCUUUUGCUUUAUGAUGUAUCGCUGGCUUGUUAAAGCUUUUCUGCUUUUUUUGAUGUAGAUUCUUAUUCCUGUAAACUUUCCUCUUCAUACUACUUUUGCUGUAUCCCAUAGAUUUUUGGUGUGUUGUGUUUCCAUUUUUAUUUGUUUCUUGAAAUUUUUUUAUUUUUCUCCUUAAUUUCUUCAUCGAGCCACUCAUCAUUCAGAAGCAUAUCAUCUAAUUUCCAUGGUUUGUAUAGUUUACAAAAUUCCUCUUCUUUUUGAUUUUUAAUUUUAUUCCACUGUAGUAAGAGAAGAUACUUGAUAUCAUUCUAAUGUCUUUGAAGUUUUUACAACUUGUUUUAUGGCUUCAUAUAUGGUGUGUCCUUGAGAUAAUCCAUGAGCUGAGGAGAAGAGUGUUCUGCAGCCAUUAGAUUAAAUUUUCUGUGAAUAUCAAUUAGGUCCGUUUCCUGGAUAGUGCACAUAAGUUCAAAUUUUCUUUGUUGAUUUUCUCUCUACAUAAUCUGUCCAGUGCUGAAAUUGGGGUGUUAAAAUCUCCGGCUAUUGUACUGAAAUCUGUUUCUCUCUUUAGGUCUAAUAAAACUUGCUUUAUAUAUGUGGGUGUUCCAUUGGUUGGUAUAUAUUUAUAUAUUUAUUUAUUUAAUUAUACUUUAAGUUCCAGGGUACUUGUGCAGAAUAUGCAAGUUUGAUACAUAGGUAUACGUGUGUCAUGUUGGUUUACUGCACCCAUCAACUCAUCAUUUACAUUAGGUAUUUCUCCUAAUGCUAUCCCUCCCCACUCUCUCCACCCCACAACAGGCCCUGGUGUGUGAUGUUCCCCGCCCUGUGUCCAAGUGUUCUCAUUGUUCAAUUCCCAACUGUAAGUGAGAACGUGCAGUGUUUGGUUUUCUGUCCUUGUGUUAGUUUGCUGAAAAUGAUGGUUUCCAGCUUCAUCCAUGUCCCUGCAAAGGACAUGAACUCAUCCUUUUUUAUGGCUGCAUAGUAUUCCAUGGUGUAUAUGUGCCACAUUUUCUUAAUCCAGUCUAUCAUUGAUGGACAUUUGGGUUGGUUCCACGUCUUUGCUAUUGUGAAUAGUGCCAGAAUAAACAUACGUGUGCCUGUGUUUUUAUAGUAGCAUGAUUUAUAAUCCUUUGGGUAUAUACCCAGUAAUGGGAUUGCUGGGUCAAAUGGCAUUUCUGGUUCUAGAUCCUUGAGGAAAUGACACACUGUCUUCCACAAUGGUUGAACUAAUUUACACUCCUACCAACAGUGUAAAAGCGUUUCUAUUUCUCCACAUCCUCUCCAGCAUCCAUUGUUUCCUGACUUUUUUUUUUGAGACGGAGUCUCGCUCUGUCGCUCAGGCUGGAGUGCAGUGGUGCGAUCUCGGUGCACUGCAAGCCCUGCCUCCUGGGUUCACGCCAUUCUCCUGCCUCACCCUCCCGAGUAGCUGGGACUACAGGCGGCCGCCAGCACGCCUGGCUAAUUUUUUGUAUUUUUUAGUAGAGAUGGGGUUUCACCAUGUUACCCAGGGUGUUCUUGAUCUUCUGAUCUCAUGAUCCACCCACCUCGGCCUCUCAAAGUGCUGGGAUUACAGGUGUGAGUGACCGCACCUGGCCGUUUCCUGACUUUUUAAUGAUCGCCAUUCUAACUGGUGUGAAAUGGUAUCUCAUGGUGGUUUUGAUUUGCAUUUCUCUGAUGACCAGUGAUGGUGAGCAUUUUUUCAUGUGUCUGUUGGCUGCAUAAAUGUCUUCUUUUGAGAAGUGUCUAUUCAUAUCCUCUACCCACUUUUUGAUGGGGUUGUUUGUUUUUUUCUUGUAAAUUUGUUUAUGUGCUUUGUAGAUUCUGGAUAUUAGCCCUUUGUCAGAUGGGUAGAUUGCAAAAAUUUUCUCCCAUUCUGUAGGUUGCCUGUUCACUCUGAUGGUAGUUUUCUUUUGCUGUGCAGAAGCUCUUUGAUUAGAUCUCAUUUGUCUAUUUUGGCUUUUGUUGCCAUUGCUUUUGGUGUUUUAGUCAUGAAGUCCUUGCCCAUGCCUGUGUCCUUAAUGGUAUUCCCUCUGUUUUUUUCUAGGGUUUUUAUGGUUUUAGGUCUACCAUUUAAGUCUUCAAUCCAUCUUGAAUUAAUUUUUGUAUAAGGUGUAAGGAAGGGAACCAGUUUCAGCUUUCUACAUAUGGCUAGCCAGUUUUCCCAGCACCAUUUAUUAAAUAGGGAAUCCUUUCCCCAUUGCUUGUUUUUCUCAGGUUUGUCAAAGAUCAGAUCAUUGUAGAUGUGUUGUGUUAUUUCUGAGGCCUCUGUUCUGUUCCAUUGGUCUAUAUCUCUGUUUUGGUACCAGUACCAUGCUGUUUUGUUUACUGUAGCCUUGUAGUAUAGUUUGAAGUCAGGUAGCAUGAUGCCUCCAGCUUUGUUCUUUUGGCUUAGGAUUGACUUGGAGAUGCGGGCUCUUUUUUGGUUCCAUAUGGACUUAAAGGUAGUUUUUUCCAAUUCUGUGAAGAAAGUCAUUGGUAGCUUGAUGGGGAUGGCAUUGAAUCUAUAAAUUACCUUGGGCAGUAUGGCCAUUUUGAUUCUUCCUGUCCAUGAGCAUGGAAUAUUCUUCCAUUUGUUUGUGUCCUCUUUUAUUUCGUUGAGCAGUGGUUUAUAGUUCUCCUUGAAGAGGUCCUUCACAUCCCUUGUAAAUUGGAUUCCUAGGUAUUUUACUCUCUUUGUAGCAAUUGUGAAUGGGAGUUCACUUGUGAUUUGGCUGUCUGUUAUUGGUGUCUGUUAUUGGUGUAUAGGAAUGCUUGUGAUUUUUGCAAAUUGAUUUUGUAUCCUGAGGCCUUGCUGAAGUUGCUUAUCAGCUUGAGGAGAUUUUGGGCUGAGACAAUGGGGAUUUCUAAGUGUACAAUCAUGUCAUCUACGAACAGGGACAGUUUGACUUCCUCUUUUCCUAUUUGAAUACCCUUUAUUUCUUUGUCUUGUUUGAUUGCCCUGGCCAGAACCUCCAACACUGUGUUGAAUCCGAGUGGUGAGAGAGGGCAUCCUUGUCUUGUGCCGGUUUUCAGAGGGAAUGCUUCCAGUUUUUGCCCAUUCAGUAUGAUAUUGGCUGUGGGUUUAUCAUAAAUAGCUCUUAUUGUUUUGAGAUACGUUCCUCAAUACCUAGUUUAUUGAGAGUUUUUAGCAUGAAGGGCUGUUGAAUUUUGUCGAUGGCCUUUUCAGCACCUCUCGAGAUAAUAAUGUGGUUUUUGUCGUUGGUUCUGUUCAUGUGAUGGAUUACAUUUAUGAUUUGCGUAUGUUGAACUAGCCUUGCAUCCCAGAGAUGAAGCCUACUUGAUCGUGGUGGAAAAGCUUUUUGAUGUGCUGCUGGAUUUGGUUUGCCAGUAUUUUAUUGAGGAUUUUUGCAUGGAUGUUCAUCAGGGGUAUUGGUCUAAAAUUCUCUCUUUGUUGUUGUUGUUGUUGUGUCUCUGCUAGGUUUUGGUAUCAGGAUGAUGCUGGCCUCAUAAAAUGAGUUAGGGAGGAUUCCCUCUUUUUCUAUUGAUUGGAAUGGUUUCAUAAGGAAUGGUACCAGCUACUCUUUGUACCUCUAGUAGAAUUCGGCUGUGAAUCCAUCUGUUCCUGGACUUUUUUUGGUUGGUAGGCUAUUAAUUAUUACCUCAAUUUCAGAGCCUGUUACUUGUCUAUUCAGAGAUUCAAGUUCGUCCUGGUUUAGUCUUGGGAGGGUGUAUGUGUCCAGGAAUUUAUCCAUUUCUUCUAGAUUUUAUAGUUUAUUUGUGUAGAGGUGUUUAUAGUAUUCUCUGAUGGUAGUUUGUACUUCUGUGGGAUCCAUGGUGGUAUCUCCUUUAUCAUUUUUUAUUGCACCUAUUUAAUUCUUCUCUCUUUUCUUCUUUAAUAGUCUUGCUAGUGGUCUGUCAAUUUUGUUGAUCUUCUCAAAAAACCAGCUCCUGGUUUCAUUGAUUUUUUUUGAAGGGUUUUUUGUGUCUCUAUCUCCUUUGGUUCUGCUCUGAUCUUAGUUAUUUCUUGCCUUCUGCUAGCUUUUGAAUGUGUUUGCUCUUGCUUCUCUAGUUCUUUUAAUUGUGAUGUUAGGGUGUCGAUUUUAGACCUUUCCUGCUUUCUCUUGUGGGCAUUUAGUACUAUAAAUUUCCCUCUACACACUGCUUUCAAUGUGUCCCAGAGGUUCUGGUACACUGGUGUCUUUGUUCUUAUUUGUUUCAAAGAUCAUCUUUAUUUCUGCCUUCAUUUUAUUAUUUACUGGUAUAUGUUUAUUUAUAAUUGCUUUAUCCUUUUGCGGUAUUGACCUCUUCAUUAUAUAAUGACUUUGCCUCUUGUUUUAGGUUUUGUUUAGAAAUCGAUUUUGUCUGAUAUACAUAUGGUUAUUCCUGCUCUUUUUUGUUUUUUAUUAGCAUAGAAUAUCUUUUUUCCUCCCUUUAUUUUCAGUCUGGCUGUCUUUUUAAGUGAUGUAUGUUUCUUGUAGGCAGCAGAUCAUUGUGUGUUGUUUUUCUAUCCAUUCAGGCACUUUAUGCCUUUUGAUUGGAGAGUUUGGUUAAUUUACAUUCAGGGUUUUUAUUGAUAAAUAGAUACUUACUCUGGCCAUUUUGUUAUUUGUGUUCUAGGUGUUUUGUGUCCUCUCUUCCAUCUUUUCUUCUUUCCUGUCUUUCUUUUAGCAAAGAUGAUUUUCUUUGGUGGUUUAUUUUCUUGCUUUUAUUUUUGGUGUGUUUCUUAUAUGUUUUUUGAUUUGAGGUUACCAUGAGGCUUGAAAAUAAUAUAACUCAUUAUUUUAAACUGAUGUCAACUUAACAUCGAUUGCAUAAACAAAGAAACAAGCAAAGUGAAAACUAAUACAAACUCUAUGCCUUAACUUCGUCCCCUUUCUUGCUUUUUAACCUUGUCCUGUCUCUAUUGAUAGCUUAUUUUACUGUCUGUGAGUUGGAAGGUUGUUAGUAUUUUUGAUAGGUUCAUCUUUUAGUGUUUGUACUCAAGAUAUGAGUAGUUUACACACCACAGUUACAUGUUAUAAUAUUCUGUGUUUUUCUGUUUACUUACUAUUACCAGUGAGUUUUAAACCUUCAGAUGAUUUCUUAUGCUCAUUAAUGCCCUUUUCUUUCAAAUUGAAGAACUCCUU